Mytilus californianus (California mussel) is the source of this 290-nucleotide long non-coding RNA. RefSeq lists it as uncharacterized. The record is from RefSeq and is a predicted model, not a curated record. NCBI's taxonomy places the organism in Eukaryota, Metazoa, Mollusca, Bivalvia, Mytilida, Mytilidae. The transcript has 3 exons.
CUAUUCCAUGUCUUCUAGAGAAAAAUAAUGAGGGGUGUCACGGGGUAUGGCUAUAUAGGUCUUGUAGAGGAGAAACAGGCGCAUCGUUUGAGCAAGGUUUCGAGUGGCGCUAUGUUCAAAAAUCUGAAACUAGGGCUCGAAAUUAUAAAAAUUUGGAAAAAACCGGGGGGUUGGCCUAUUCCAUGGCUUCUAGAGAAAAAUAAUGAGGAGUGUCACGGGGUAUGGCUAUAUAGGUCUUGUAGAGGAGAAACAGGCGCAUCGGUUGCGCAAGAUGUUGAGUGUCGCUAUGU